Mastomys coucha (southern multimammate mouse) is the source of this 709-nucleotide long non-coding RNA. RefSeq lists it as uncharacterized. Lineage: Eukaryota; Metazoa; Chordata; Mammalia; Rodentia; Muridae. The record is from RefSeq and is a predicted model, not a curated record. The transcript is spliced from 3 exons.
CCCUGAGGGAUCUCACAGUGGCCCAUGAGUGACCUUCCAGCCACCUUCCAGGACAAGGUCCACACUGGACAGACAGCCACUGGUGGAGCUUGCAGGCCGUGUACUGGGAAGAACAGAGGUAGCCCUGGAAGUCCGUCGAAACCUCGGUCACCCUAGGAAGAAGAGGGAAAAUCAAACGGAGGGUCUAGCCCUGUCCCAUCCCUUCCUACUCUGUCCUGGAUGAGGAGGAACUGUAUCCCAUGAGAAAGUGGUGAGCCCUGGCGGGUCAGGCAAGGCGGAUGCAGGCGUCCCAGGAGGGACUACCUACAACUGAGAACACCAAGAGACACCGCUUUAACAUCCAGCCCACUCACCAAUGGUCCAGGGCGGCCCGUGUAUCCCAUGGGGCCAGGGGGCCCACGGAGUGCCAGCUAGAAGAGCAGAAGAGACAGAAGGGGUGAGAAGGAAGCCAUGUGAGAGAACUCCAACAACCCUAGGUUUAAUUAUCCGUCCUCUCUCUAAUCUUCACCCUGUGACCUUCACUCUCCUCCAUCUCCCCUCGGCCUCAGAAAACCCACCCUCUUUCCACACCAUUCUUCCCUUUCCACCACAGACCUCCCUCUACCAGGACCACACCCCUACCCCCCAACCCCCAGCCCCUGCUCACCCGUGCCUGCUGCAGAAUCGCCUGGGCCUGGGCCUCCUGGGCUGCCACCACGGGGCCCUUGUC